GAGUGUAUAGCUCAGUGGUAGAGCACUUGCCUAGCAUGCAUGAGGUCCUGGGUUCAAUCCCCAUUACCUCCA
This 72-nucleotide transfer RNA is filed under the name Camelus bactrianus (Bactrian camel). It matches the Rfam family "tRNA". Rfam says of the family: Transfer RNA (tRNA) molecules are approximately 80 nucleotides in length. Their secondary structure includes four short double-helical elements and three loops (D, anti-codon, and T loops). The record is from Rfam by way of RNAcentral. RNAcentral also lists the same sequence under 2 other names. Lineage: Eukaryota; Metazoa; Chordata; Mammalia; Artiodactyla; Camelidae.